UUCAUCGGAAAUUACGAGGAGAUGGCUCAAUAACACCGCCGACCUCUUCUUCUCCAUUCCCUCACUCGCACCAAACCAUACCCUCCGCUUGAUGAAAAAACCUAGCCGCCGCCGAAGAGUAGAGACGGACAGAACGCUCCUCCCAUUUUGAACCCUAGGAGCCGCCAUUCCUCUCUCAAGCUGAAAACUGAGUUCGAAAUCUGCUGUUUAUUGCUGGAUACCUCGCUGAGCUCCACUCGAAUUGAUUCCAGCCUUUAUUUGGCUUUGUUUUGUACCUUUUCUGCUCCAGUAGGUAUCUUCUCUUACGUCUGUAUUUUGUUCAGAUCUGGUUUAAUGAAAAAUCAUGACUACUUCACUUUAUCUGUUAUUGCUGUUUGGAUUUGGCUGCCUUGAGUUCGAAAUCUGCUGUUUAUGAGUAUGAUGAUGAUCUUCCUAAGAUUGAUGUGAAGCCUGUUUACAACAAGGAUGAUUUUUUCGACUCUUUGUCAAGUAAUGCACUUGAUAAUGGCCCAAAUCAUGGAAGGAUCAGAUUCUCUAAGCAAAGGAAGAUAGACGUUGAGACGUUUGGAGAUUUCUCAAGAUACAGGGGUGGCCGUGGUGGUUGUGGUCCUGGACGUGGUAUACGUUCUCGAGGUUCAUAUUAUGGAAGAGGAGGAUAUGGAGGAAAUGGAGGAAAUGGGUAUGGUUAUGGUUAUGGUGGUAGAGGCAGAGGCCGUGGUAUGCCAUCCUGUGCUUCGUAAAAGCGUUUGCUGUAUCAUCUCGAGGUUGAGCUAGAAGCAAAUAUCUGCCUCUUUUAGGCAGGACAGUGUUAGUACUAUUCGAUCCUGUAACGUUUGUGCAUCUUUGUUUACGUUUUAAGGAAUAAAUUCAGGCUGUUAAAGUAUGUUCAAUUUUCAUCCUUGGGCUAGAGCUCAUUUAUCUAGCUGCUAAUUAUACAAGCACAACGGCUAUAGUCCUAAUGUAGUCUGCUUGCUGAUUGCAAUGUGAAAAUUAGACAGUUCCCAUUUUCCUCUAUUAAUGUUCGUGUACAACUCUAACUUUGAAGAAGUUUAAUAACUUUUAAGAGAUUUGUUUGUGUCGAAAUUGCAAAUUCAAGUUGCUGGUAAAGUUGUUGCCAUAGAAAGUUUGGUGUUACCAGAGUGCAUAUGGAAGAAGAUGCAGGGAAGCUGCUUCAUACCGAUGGUGGGAGUUACUCGCAGGAAAGAACUCCUCCUUACUCAUUUAAACAAUCUUGUGCUCGUCAUCUUCGUUUUCUAUUUUCUGCCCCUUUCUUUCAGAUAGCACAUUCUUGCAUUUAUCAGAUGCAUCACAUUGUAAUGUUUAAGUUCCUUUGAUGAUUAUAUCAAAUUGUGUAACUUAUUUGUAUAUUUGCGUGAAUGGAGUUAGAUUAUUUGAUCUAAUAUACUUGUUACUUCUAUUGAUAAAGAAUUCCUUAUGGUUUCAAGAUUCACUAUGAUUCUUAGACGGUUGUUGAUUUAUUUGGCUCUCUGUUGCAGGUUGACUUAAAUAGUCCUCUAUAAUAAGUUCAGUGGACGACUUGAUUUAGCCACACCUGCAAGUUCAGUUUCACUAUUUAUGAAAUUCUUGUGUUAGCAUUAAACUUAGUAAGGAACUUUACUUGUCAUUUUAAUGUGAAACAUGGUCUCUGGUUGGUCCCACAGGAGACUAGAUUUGCAUGCCAAGUUUAGCGAAAAUGACCUUUUAUAUUCGAAUGAACAUCAUUUCAGUUUCAUUUGGUGUAAACCACCUUCUCUGGAGAAACUUGAAACCAUAGAGAUGUUUAGCAAAUGAAUUCUCGUGUUCUCUUAAUUCCUUAAAAUACAUAUUACAUGCCAUUCAAGGCUUUAAGUGAAUGACUACUUUAUCCUAUGUAAUUGUUGCUAGAGUGACCGCAAUUUUCCCAUUAUUGCAACUUUCAUGUCAAUAACAUGGAUUCUUCUGCCUUAUGGAUCAUGUUUCUGCUUCAUCUGGCGUUAAUUUUUUACUGUUGCUUUUCUAUGUGCUGGAAAUUCUCCCCUAUAAGUGUUUAGCUUAAUUUGCAGAUUGGUAAGUCAGCAUUGUAUGUGAUGAACUGAUAUAUUUCAUCUUGCAUCAGGUGAAAAUUAAAAACUUGAACUCCUUCUCAUCGGUGAGUAGGGCCAUUGAUUAUGAAAUUUCAAGACAGGUGCUUCUACAUAGCCAAGGCCAGGUUGAUCAAAUUGUACAGGAAACUCGUCUAUGGGAGGAAGGUGCUCAGAAUUUUUUGAUGCAACAAUUGCAGCGGGUGCCGAUGUAAAGCUUGCUACCAAUUGGAUUAUGGGUGAUAUUGCUGCAUGUAUGAAAAAUGAAAAAGUGACUAUCAAUGAGAUUAAACUUACCCCUCAAGAACUUUGGGAGCUCAUAGCUUCCAUUAAAGAUGGGACUAUCAGUGGAAAUAUUGGGAGAUAAUUACAUUUUUCAUGCUGAUAUGUCAACUUUUUUGUUGGUCAAAAAUCAUUUCUAAUGCUUACUAUAUACAUUGUUAAUUAGAAGUUUAGUUCCAUUGAUCUUUCUCAACAUAUAUAAUAUUUUGGGUGCACUAGAUUGGGGGUUUGUCCAGUAACAAUUUAACGACCACUUUC
Nicotiana tabacum (common tobacco) is the source of this 2600-nucleotide RNA transcript. It is a transcript of the gene named glutamyl-tRNA(Gln) amidotransferase subunit B, chloroplastic/mitochondrial, with no coding region annotated. The record is from RefSeq and is a predicted model, not a curated record. NCBI's taxonomy places the organism in Eukaryota, Viridiplantae, Streptophyta, Magnoliopsida, Solanales, Solanaceae.